CCUACGGGUGGCUGCAGUGGGGAAUUUUCCGCAAUGGGCGAAAGCCUGACGGAGCAAGACCGCGUGAGGGAGGAAGGCUCUUGGGUUGUAAACCUCUUUUCUCAGGGAAGAACUCCAUGACGGUACCUGAGGAAUCAGCCUCGGCUAACUCCGUGCCAGCAGCCGCGGUAAUACGGAGGAGGCAAGCGUUAUCCGGAAUUAUUGGGCGUAAAGCGUCCGUAGGUGGUCGUGUAAGUCGGUCGUCAAAGCCAGAGGCUCAACCUCUGUCAGGCGGU
Molecule: ribosomal RNA, 275 nt
Filed under: uncultured bacterium
Lineage: Bacteria
Description: partial 16S ribosomal RNA
Rfam family: Bacterial small subunit ribosomal RNA
Source: RNAcentral